AAGGGAUUAGCUCAAUGGUAGAGCAACCGUUUUACACACGGUGGGUUAAGUGUUCGAAUCACUUAUUCCUUA
Transfer RNA from Colletotrichum chlorophyti, 72 nucleotides. It matches the Rfam family "tRNA". From Rfam's summary of the family: Transfer RNA (tRNA) molecules are approximately 80 nucleotides in length. Their secondary structure includes four short double-helical elements and three loops (D, anti-codon, and T loops). The record is from Rfam. Lineage: Eukaryota; Fungi; Ascomycota; Sordariomycetes; Glomerellales; Glomerellaceae.